This 890-nucleotide ribosomal RNA is filed under the name uncultured archaeon. Its description in RNAcentral is "bacterial SSU rRNA". It matches the Rfam family "Archaeal small subunit ribosomal RNA", at positions 25 to 922 of the family's 1478-position model. The record is from RNAcentral.
UACUGCUAUCGAGUCCGAUUAGCCAUGCGAGUCGAAUGUAGCAAUACAUGGCGAACUGCUCAGUAACACGUGACAACCUACCCUCAGAUCUGGGAUAAACUGGGAAACUGGGUAUAAUACCGGAUAGGUCUUGGAUGCUGGAAUGCACCGAGGCCCAAAGCUCCGGGCGUCUGAGGAUGGGUCUGCGGCCUAUCAGGGUGGUAGUGGGUGUAAAGUACCUACUAGCCUACGACGGGUACGGGUCGUGAGAGCGAGAGCCCGGAGAUGGAUUCUGAGACACGAAUCCAGGCCCUACGGGGUGCAGCAGGCGCGAAAACUUUACAAUGCCGGCAACGGCGAUAAGGGGACCUCGAGUGCCAGGAUACAAUCCUGGCUGUCGUAAUGCCUAAAAAGCAUUAUAUAGCAAGGGCCGGGCAAGACCGGUGCCAGCCGCCGCGGUAACACCGGCGGCUCGAGUGGUAACCGCUAUUAUUGGGUCUAAAGGGUCUGUAGCCGGCCUGGUAAGUCUUUUGGGAAAUCCGGCAGCUCAACUGUCGGGCUAUCAGAGGAUACUGCUAGGCUCGAGACCGGGAGAGGUGAGAGGUACUUCAUGGGUAGGGGUGAAGUCUUGUAAUCCUUGAAGGACCACCAGUGGCGAAGGCGUCUCACCAGAACGGAUCUGACGGCAAGGGACGAAAGCUAGGGGCACGAACCGGAUUAGAUACCCGGGUAGUCCUAGCCGUAAACGAUACUCGCUAGGUGUCGGCCACGGCGCGACCGUGGUCGGUGCCGUAGGGAAGCCGUGAAGCGAGCCACCUGGGAAGUACGGCCGCAAGGCUGAAACUUAAAGGAAUUGGCGGGGGAGCACUACAACGGGUGGAGCCUGCGGUUUAAUUGGAGUCAACGCCGGA